CAGCAGCCGCGGUAAUUCCAGCUCCAGCAGCGUAUAUUUAUAUUGCUGCGUUUAAAAAGCUCGUAGUUGAAGCGUCAGACGCGGGAGGACGGACGGCCGCACCGGUCGCUUCUCGUCCGACCGAGCCAGGCGCAGAGGGCGUCCGUCGGUUGCACUUGACCGUGUGAUCGCGGCGUCGCUGCACGUUCACCUUGAGGAAAUUGAACCGCUCAGAGGAGGCGAGCAGCUUGAACAGCUCAGCAUGGUAUGAUGGAACACGGGCUCGUACUCAUUUUGUCGGUUCUGGAGUUUGCGAGCCAAUGAUUAACAGGGACUGACGGGGGCAUUCGUACUCGCACGCUAGAGGUGAAAUUCAAGGACCGUGCGAAGACGUCCCACUGCGAAAGCAUUUGCCAAGAAUGUUUUCAUUAAUCAAGAACGAAAGUCAGAGGUGCGAAGGCGAUCAGAUACCGCCGUAGUUCUGACCGUAAACGAUGCCGACUGGCAAUUGGGCGCACUUCUGCCGAAGUUGCGGCCAGCAGUAUUCUACCCGGGAAACCAAAGUUACUGGGCUCCGGGGGGAGUAUGGUUGCAAAGCUGAAACUUAAAGGAAUUGACGGAAGGGCACCACCAGGAGUGGAGCCUGCGGCUUAAUUUGACUCAACACGGG
This 649-nucleotide ribosomal RNA is filed under the name Membranipora membranacea. RNAcentral describes it as "SSU rRNA". It matches the Rfam family "Eukaryotic small subunit ribosomal RNA", at positions 568 to 1209 of the family's 1831-position model. Lineage: Eukaryota; Metazoa; Bryozoa; Gymnolaemata; Cheilostomatida; Membraniporidae. The record is from RNAcentral.